GAUCAUGGCUCAGGACGAACGCUGGCGGCGCGCCUAACACAUGCAAGUCGAACGAGCGAGAGAGAGCUUGCUUUCUCAAGCGAGUGGCGAACGGGUGAGUAACGCGUGAGGAACCUGCCUCAAAGAGAGGGACAACAGUUGGAAACGACUGCUAAUACCGCAUAAGCCCACGGCUCGGCAUCAGGCAGAGGGAAAAGGAGCAAUCCGCUUUGAGAUGGCCUCGCGUCCGA
Molecule: ribosomal RNA, 230 nt
Filed under: uncultured bacterium
Lineage: Bacteria
Description: partial 16S ribosomal RNA
Rfam family: Bacterial small subunit ribosomal RNA
Source: RNAcentral